Molecule: non-coding RNA, 21 nt
Filed under: Caenorhabditis elegans
Lineage: Eukaryota; Metazoa; Nematoda; Chromadorea; Rhabditida; Rhabditidae
Source: RNAcentral
UCCGUGACCAACUUCCACUGU